RNAcentral lists this ribosomal RNA (325 nucleotides) under Escherichia coli. RNAcentral describes it as "bacterial SSU rRNA". It matches the Rfam family "Bacterial small subunit ribosomal RNA", at positions 194 to 515 of the family's 1533-position model. Lineage: Bacteria; Pseudomonadati; Pseudomonadota; Gammaproteobacteria; Enterobacterales; Enterobacteriaceae. The record is from RNAcentral.
GGGGGACCUUCGGGCCUCUUGCCAUCGGAUGUGCCCAGAUGGGAUUAGCUAGUAGGUGGGGUAACGGCUCACCUAGGCGACGAUCCCUAGCUGGUCUGAGAGGAUGACCAGCCACACUGGAACUGAGACACGGUCCAGACUCCUACGGGAGGCAGCAGUGGGGAAUAUUGCACAAUGGGCGCAAGCCUGAUGCAGCCAUGCCGCGUGUAUGAAGAAGGCCUUCGGGUUGUAAAGUACUUUCAGCGGGGAGGAAGGGAGUAAAGUUAAUACCUUUGCUCAUUGACGUUACCCGCAGAAGAAGCUCCGGCUACCUCCGCCCAGCAGC